AUGCAAGAUUACCACCAGGUGUAACUGUUAUGUCACCUUUUGCCGAUGAUUCUUCGCUUAACAAAAUUGGAGUGGAGAGCUUCCCGGAGGAGCUAUUUUCAGUGCUUC
Molecule: long non-coding RNA, 108 nt
Organism: Zea mays
Lineage: Eukaryota; Viridiplantae; Streptophyta; Magnoliopsida; Poales; Poaceae
Exons: 2
Source: RefSeq, a predicted model, not a curated record